RNAcentral lists this ribosomal RNA (484 nucleotides) under uncultured bacterium. RNAcentral describes it as "partial 16S ribosomal RNA". It matches the Rfam family "Bacterial small subunit ribosomal RNA", at positions 30 to 507 of the family's 1533-position model. The record is from RNAcentral.
AUUGAACGCUGGCGGCAGGCCUAACACAUGCAAGUCGAGCGGAUGAAGGGAGCUUGCUCCUGGAUUCAGCGGCGGACGGGUGAGUAAUGCCUAGGAAUCUGCCUGGUAGUGGGGGAUAACGUCCGGAAACGGGCGCUAAUACCGCAUACGUCCUGAGGGAGAAAGUGGGGGAUCUUCGGACCUCACGCUAUCAGAUGAGCCUAGGUCGGAUUAGCUAGUUGGUGGGGUAAAGGCCUACCAAGGCGGCGAUGCGUAACUGGUCUGAGAGGAUGAUCAGUCACACUGGAACUGAGACACGGUCCAGACUCCUACGGGAGGCAGCAGUGGGGAAUAUUGGACAAUGGGCGAAAGCCUGAUCCAGCCAUGCCGCGUGUGUGAAGAAGGUCUUCGGAUUGUAAAGCACUUUAAGUUGGGAGGAAGGGCAGUAAGUUAAUACCUUGCUGUUUUGACGUUACCAACAGAAUAAGCACCGGCUAACUUCGUG